CACGUAGGCGGCUUUCUAAGUCGGGGUGAAAUCCUGGAGCUCAACUCCAGAACUGCCUUCGAUACUGGAAAGCUCGAGUCCGGGAGAGGUGAGUGGAACUGCGAGUGUAGAGGUGAAAUUCGUAGAUAUUCGCAAGAACACCAGUGGCGAAGGCGGCUCACUGGCCCGGUACUGACGCUGAGGUGCGAAAGCGUGGGGAGCAAACA
Molecule: ribosomal RNA, 206 nt
Filed under: uncultured bacterium
Lineage: Bacteria
Description: partial 16S ribosomal RNA
Rfam family: Bacterial small subunit ribosomal RNA
Source: RNAcentral